Ribosomal RNA from Cyprinus carpio (common carp), 119 nucleotides. Lineage: Eukaryota; Metazoa; Chordata; Actinopteri; Cypriniformes; Cyprinidae. The record is from Ensembl.
GCUUACGGCCAUACCACCCUGAGCGUGCCUGAUCUCGUCUGAUCUCGGAAGUUAAGCUGGGUCGGGCCUGGUUAGUACUUGGAUGGGAGACCGCCUGGGAAUACCAGGUGCUGUAAGCU